CAUAGAAAAAUAAAAAUAAUUAAAUGAAAUUGUUCUAAUCAAUUUAUAUAUUCUUAUAUAUUAAACGUGUCUAUCUGCAAAUGUUUCUUAUAAUUCUGUUUAUCGAGAAAGUAGAAUGUAUCGUUUUUAUAUUUAUUUUGAUAUUACGUUCAAACCAGAAAGUAUUUUGUUUUCGGAGAAUUGAUUCAUGAUUGUACGACGCUCGACAUAUUUCGAUUUGUUGUCAAACUUCAAGCCUAUCUUGUCUCUAAUCCAAUUCGAUAAUCGAAACACAGUGUGAGAUGCCAUUCUUCCAUCGAAAGUCGUGCCGUUUGGAUGCUUCGCUUCAGAUUUCAUUUUCUCCUACUUGAUGACUUGAUGACUUCCCAUGGGUGAACAUCAAUAGCAAUACAGAUUCUUUGUAUCUAAUGGUAAAUCUGUAUUUUUGUUUCUCUAAUCAUCUAUAAUGAAAGGUCCGAAUCGA
Long non-coding RNA from Apis mellifera (honey bee), 463 nucleotides. RefSeq lists it as uncharacterized. The record is from RefSeq and is a predicted model, not a curated record. Lineage: Eukaryota; Metazoa; Arthropoda; Insecta; Hymenoptera; Apidae. The transcript is spliced from 2 exons.